This 3614-nucleotide long non-coding RNA is filed under the name Salmo salar (Atlantic salmon). RNAcentral's name for it is "lncRNA (ENSSSAG00000092749.1)". The record is from RNAcentral. Lineage: Eukaryota; Metazoa; Chordata; Actinopteri; Salmoniformes; Salmonidae.
CACCCGGCACAGCCAGAAGAGGACUGGCCACCCCUCAUAGCCUGGUUCCUCUCUAGGUUUCUUCCUAGGUUUUGGCCUUUCUAGGGAGUUUUUCCUAGCCACCAUGCUUCUACACCUGCAUUGCUUGCUGUUUGGAGUUUUAGACUGGGUUUCUGUACAGCACUUUGAGAUAUCAGCUGAUGUAAGAAGGGCUAUAUAAAUACAUUUGAUUUGAUUUUGAUUUGAUCUUCACAGUGACCUGCUCAAAAGGUUCCAGGACUCUGCACACCUCCUCCACUACCUCCCAUUCCUCUUGGGUCAGAGCAUCAACAGGUGCAUUGACAAUGGCCAGGGUAGAGAUGAUGUCAUCCUUUGGCUCAAGAAACCGCUUCAACAUAUAAAAUGUUGAAUUCCACCUUGUAGUGCAGUCUUGUUUAGGCCUCAGCUCAGGCAUCCCCAUCUGGCGUUGUGUAGACUUUAGUUUUUUCAGCACCUACUGUGCUCCUGUGGAAAUAUUCCACAGCUACUUUCACUUUCACUCAUCACCUUCAGAGCAUCUCUGGGCAAGACAUGGAUGAUGGGUCCAUUUGAACAUUUUCAUGGCUUUGGCUAUGUAAGCUGCAUUGUCGCUAACACAACAGACCACUUUUCCAUCUACUUGCCAUUCUCUGGCCACUCUCAACAGUUCCUCUGCCAAGUUCUCUGAGGUGUGUCUGUCGCUGAACUCAAAGCAGUCCAGAAGACAGCUAGACAUCGAAAACAUCUUCAAUGAAGUGACAUGUAACCGACAUGUAAGAAGUGGUUACCCUUGAUGUCCAGCAGUCAGUGGUAAGGCAAACUGCAGUAGCUUUUUGGACUCUUUCCCGCAGUGAAGCCUGUCUGUUCUCGUACAGUUGUGGAAUAAGUGAUUUUGAAAGGCCUCAGCCCUCCCUCACCCAUCUUUGGUUCAUUGGUUGACCCUGCGUGUCUGAUUGACAAGAACAAAAGCUGAGGCUGUUAGUCUGAGCAGACAGUCAGAACGAAUGUGUGUGCGCUUAAGCGUUUAGGCCUAUAUUAUUUUAUUUCAAUUUUUUUCGUUCUUUGAAUUAGUUAAUUGUAUUCAUUUAAAUCUUUUGAUUAUUCAUAUCUUAAUUGUUUUAUAUUUUUAUAAAUAGAUUCGGCUCUUCUGAUAUGUAAGCCGGCUCCCAACGUUCACAUACAAGAGCUGAGUCGUUCGCGAACGACCCAUCACUAGUCGACUACAUAGGAGAUAGGGUCACUGCAAGGGUAUCAGGUCACUGCAUUGAUCAGUGAAGGUGAAAUAGGCUAAGUGACAUUUAUUUCACACUUAAUCAUGAUGAGUGAACAAAAAUGAAAUUAACAGACAUCCUAUGUCUAUGUUCACUAUAGCAUGGAAGUCUUCCUUUUGAUACAGCUGUCAUCAAAAUGACUCGUAUGCUGUCUCAAGAGGAGUGCUCACUACCAGGUCUAGGGUGUGUCCUUACUCACAAAUGGCACCCUAUUCCCGAUAUAGUGCACUACUUUUGACCAGGGCCCAUAGUGUGAAGUGUAAAGGGAAUAUGGUGCCAUUUGAGACACUGUCUAGGGCUGGGUGUGUGCUCUCCUUCAUGACCACUUAUAACUAUCAGACCAGGACAGGUCUCCAUUAUUAUUCCAUUCCAUUAUAACUAUCAGACCAGGACAGGUCUCCAUUAUUAUUCCAUUACAUUAUAACUACCAGACCAGGACAGGUCUCUAUUAUUAUUCCAUUAUAGUAUAACUACCAGACCAGGACAGGUCUCUAUUAUUAUUCCAUUACAUUAUAACUACCAGACCAGGACAGGUCUCCAUUAUUAUUCCAUUACAUUAUAACUACCAGACCAGGUCUCCAUUAUUAUUCCUUUACACCCAUAUAUAAACUCAGCAAAAAAAGAAAUGUCCUCUCACUGUCAACUGCGUUUAUUUUCAGCAAACUUAACAUGUAAAUAUUUGUGUGAACAUAACAAAUUCAACAACUGAGACAUAAACUAAACAAGUUCCACAGACAUGUGACUAACAGAAAUGGAAUAAUGUGUCUCUGAACAAAGGGGGGUUCAAAAUUAACAGUCAAAAGUUACAGUCAGUAUCUGGUGUGGCCACCAGCUGCAUUAAGUUCUGCAGUGCAUCUUCUCCUCAUGGACUGUAUCAGAUUUGCCAGUUUUUGCUGUGAGAUGUUAACCCACUCUUCCACCAAGGCACCUGCAAGUUCCCGGACAUUUCUGGGGGGAAUGGCCCUAGCCCUCACCCUCUGAUCCAACAGGUCCCAGACGUGCUCAAUGGGAUUGAGAUCCGGGCUCUUUGCUGGCCAUGGCAGAACACUGACAUUCCUGUCUUGCAGGAAAUCACGCACAGAACGAGCAGUAUGGCUGGUGGCAUUGUCAUGCUGGAGGGUCAUGUCAGGAUGAGCCUACAGGAAGGGUACCACAUGAGGGAGGAGGAUGUCUUCCCUGUAACGCACAGCGUUGAGAUUGCCUGCAAUGACAACAAGUUCAGUCCGAUGAUGCUGUGACACACCGCCCCAGACCAUGACGGACCCUCCACCUCCAAAUCGAUCCCGCUCCAGAGUACAGGCUUCGGUGUAACGCUCAUUCCUUCAACGAUAAAUGCAAAUCCGACCAUCACCCCUGGUGAGACUAAACCGUGACUCGUCAGUGAAGAGCACUUUUUGCCAGUCCUGUCUGGUCCAGCAACGGUGGGUUUGUGCCCAUAGGCGACGUUGUUGACGGAGAUGUCUGGUGAGGACCUGCCUUACAACAGGCCUACAAGCCCUCAGUCCAGCCUCUCUCAGCCUAUUGAGGACAGUCUGAGCACUGGUGGAGGGAUUGUGCGUUCCUGGUGUAACUCAGGCAGUUGUUGUUGCCAUCCUGUACCUGUCCCGCAGGUCUGAUGUUCGGAUGUACCGAUCCUGUGCAGGUGUUGUUACACGUGGUCUGCCACUGCGAGGACGAUCAGCUGUCCGUCCUGUCUCCCUGUAGCGCUGUCUUAGGCGUCUCACAGUACGGACAUUGCAAUUUAUUGCCCUGGCCACAUCUGCAGUCCUCAUGCCUCCUUGCAGCAUGCCUAAGGCACGUUCACGCAGAUGAGCAGGGACCCUGGGCAUUUUCUUUUGGUGUUUUUCAGAGUAAGUAGAAAGGCCUCUUUAGUGUCCUAAGUUUUCAUAACUGUGACCUUAAUUGCCUACCAUCUGUAAGCUGUUAGUGUCUUAACGACCGUUCCACAGGUGCAUGUACAUAAAUUAUUUAUGGUUCAUUGAACAGGCAUAGGAAACAGUGUUUUAACUCUUUACAACAAAGAUCUAUGAAGUUAUUUGGAUUUUUACGAAUAAUCUUUGAAAGACAGGGUCCUGAAAAAGGGACGUUUUUUUUUUUGAUGAGUUUAUCCCUCCUGAGAUGUGUGCAAACCUGGUGGCCAACUACAAGAAACGUCUGACCUCUGUGAUUGCCAACAAGGGUUUUGCCACCAAGUACUAAGUCAUGUUUUGCAGAGGGGUCAAAUACUUAUUUCCCUCAUUAAAAUGCAAAUCAUUUUAUAACAUUUUUGACAUGCGUUUUCUGGAUUUUUGUUCUUAUUCUGUCUCUCACUGUUCAAAUAAACCUACCAUUAAAAUUAUAGACUGA